AGACCAUCACAUUGAUGAUUAGGUUUCAACACAUGAAUUUUGGGAGAGACACAAACAUUCAGACCACAGCACCCAGUGCUAAUGAGAAUGGAGGAAAAAAGGCCUGAGUUUUCUUUCUCCAGCUGCCUUUAGAAGCUCCUUGAAAAAAAUCAAGCGUAUUAAAGGAAGAUGGGUGCAAGGUUUUCUUAAGCACGGACCUUGAACCUCAAGUACCUUGUUGAGCAGUGACCCUUAGAAAAAUACUUUUGUCCAUAGAAUCUGAGAAUUGAAAGGAGAAUGAAAGUCUUCUGGACCAGUGAUUCCUAGGAUUUGGGAUUUCAUGGACUAAUAAAAAAAUUUUAAGGGACAUGGAUGAAUCUGGAGAACAUCAUUCUCAGCAAACUGACACAAGAACAGAAAAUGAAACACCGCAUGUUCUCACUCAUAGCCCAGGUCUCCAAAGCCCAGCUCCUGACCAUUCAUCAGUGAGAGAAUCAAGACUAGAACUUAGGUGUGACAAGUGCUCUCUGCUCUGUGUGAAAAAUAGCCACAUAUCCCAGUCUUCUCCUUUGAUCAAACUAGUCUAUCAACAUAUCUUAAUGAGUUCACUCAUAUUUGUCAAAAAAUGUGUCCUGCUUUUUGUUCAAGAAAAAUGUAAACAUUCAAACUUCUCAGUCCCAAUGUUAAAGGAGAAGCGAAUAAACCUUUGAAGGGAAGCUGAGCUGCGAAUCCUGCUUUAAGGAGGAAGUGGAUCAGAUAAUACCCUAUUACCAAUGUAUCCCAAGAUGGCCGAAUAAGAGGCAGCUCCAGAAAGCAGCUCCCAGCAAGAGAUGAAGAAGCCAAGUGGUCUCCACAAUUCCAAACGAGGUACCAGGUUCAUUUUGUGGGUCUGGUCAGACAGUGGGUAUAAACCAAAUAGGGCAAGUUGAGGCAAGGCAGGGCACUGCUCCACCCAGGAGGAGCAUGCAACCAACUGGGGACCGGGGGAUCUCCCCCUCUGAGACUUCGGUUCGGAUACAGCACUCUACCCAAGCCCUCUACAACACACAGAACAGGGCAGCUCCACUAGGCUGAAAAGCCUCAGUGAGCUGCCUGAACAGGGCAGAACAGCAACUUCACCCAGCACUGGGGCUGUCAGCAUAGAUCUAGGCAGAAGCACUGGUCGACACUAAAAAAGCCAAAAAGUUGGUGGGAUGGAGCUACCCCCCCACUAGUAAGAAGGGGAAUGGAACACAAGGAAACAGCCCAAAUGGCAGGAUGGGUGCCCCUGCUGCACAAAGCUCAGCAGGCCAAAAAAAUCUCACUCCAGCGUUAGGCACCCAGAAAGUCAGAGAGGAAUCCGGAACUAUCCAGCUUGGCAGGCAGAAGGGAAGCCACCAUUGCAGAAGCCAGACUAAUUUUCCUAAGUAAAGGACCCAGCAGCUCCACUGAAUCUGUGGCAGCCCAGCAGUGCCUCUGCAGGCAGAAAAAGGAAAGGCCACCUCCCCAGGCAGCUACCUGAGAUUGAAACUAUGUAAAUCCAAGAGAUGGGGAGAAACCAGCACAAGAAGAAUGAACCCAUCAAAAACCAGAAUGCCUCUUCCCGACCAUGAGAUCACGACUCCUCACCAGCAAGGGAACAAAGCAGGAUGGAGAAUGAAUUUGACGAAAUGACAGAAGCAGGCUUCAGAAGGUGGGUAAUAACAAACUUCUCUGAGUUAAAGGAACAUGUUCUAUCCCAAUGCAAAGAAUCUAAAAACCUUGGAAAAAAAGAUGAAAUGCUAACUAGAAGAACCAGCUUAGAGAAGAACAUAAACGACCUGAUGGAGCUGAAAAAUACAGCACAAGAACUUUAUUAAGCAUACACAAGUUUUAAUGGCUGAAUAGAUCAAGCAGAGGAAAGGAUAUCAGAGAUAGAAGAUCAAAUCAAUGAAAUAAAACAAGAAAUCAAGAAAAGAGAACAAAGAGUGAAAAGAAAUGAACAAAGCCUUCAAGAAAUAUGGGAUUACAUGAAAAGACCUAAUCUACACCUGAUCAGUGUACCAGAAGAUGACAGGGAGAAUGAAUCCAAGCUGGAAAACACUCUUUAGGAUAUUAUCCAGGAGAACUUCCCCAACCUAGCAAGCCAGGCCAACAUUCAAAUACAGGAAAUACAGAGAACACCACAAGGAUACUCCUCUAGAAAAGCAAUCCCAAAGCACCUAAUUGCCAGGUUCACCAGGGUUGAACUGAAGGAAAAAAUACUAAGGGCAGCCAGAGAGAAAGAACAGGUCACCCACAAAAGGAAGCACAUCAGAUUCACAGCAGAUCCUUCAGCAGAAACCUACAAGCCAGAAGAGAGUGGGGCCAAUAUUCAACAUCCUUAAAGAAAAGAACUUUCAACCUACAAUUUCAUAUCCAGCCAAACUAAGCUUCAUAAGUGAAGGAGAAAUGAAAUCCUUUAUGGACAAGCAAUUGCUGAGAGAUUUUGUCACUACCAGAACUUCCCUACAAGAGCUCCUGAAGGAAGCACUAAACACAGAAAGGAAAAACCAGUACCAGCCACUGCAAAAAAGAACCAAAUGGUAAAGACCAACAAUGCAAUUAAGAAACUGCUCCAACCAAAGGGCAAAACAACUAACCAGUAAUAAAAUGGCAGGAUCAAAUUCGCACAUAAUAUUAACAUUAAAUGUAAAUGGACUAAAUGCCCUUACCAAAAGCCACAGACUGGCAAAUUGGAUAAAAAACCAAGAACCAUCAGUGUGCUGUAUUCAGGAGACCCAUCUCAUGUGCAAAGACACACAUAAAUUCAAAAUAAAGGAAUAGAAGAAGAUUUAUCAAGCAAAUACAGAACAAAAAAAAAGCACUGGUGGCAAUCCUAGUGUCUGAUAAAACAGACUUAAAGCCAACAAAAAUCAAAAAAGACAAAGAAGGGCAUCACAUAAUGGCAAAAGGAUCAAUACCACAAGAAGAGCUAACUAUCCUAAAUGUAAACGCACCCAAUACAGGAAUACCUAGAUACAUACUGCAAGUCCUUAAUGACCUAGAAAGAGACUUAGACUCCCACACAAUAAUAGUGAGAGACUUUAACACUCCACUGUCAAUAUUAGAACAAUGAGACAGAAAAUCGACAAGGAAAUCCAGGACUUGAAUGUAGAUCUGAACUAAGCGAACUUAAUAGACAUCUAUAGAACUGUCAACCUGAAAUCUGCAGAAUAUACAUUCUUCUCAGCACCACACUACACUUACUCUAAAAUUGACCACAUAAUUGGAAGUAAAUCACUCCUCAGCAAAUGCAAAAGAAUGGAAAUCAUAACAAACAGUCUCUCAGACCUCAGGGCAAUCAAAUUAGAACUCAGGAUUAAGAAACUAACUCAAAACUGCACAACUUCAUGGAAAAUGAACAACUGGCUCCUGAUUGUAGACUGGAUAAAAUGAAAUGAAGGCAGAAAUAAAGAUGUUCUUUGAAACCAACAAGAAUAAACACACAACAUACCAGAAUCUCUGUGACACAUUUAAAGUAGUGUCUAGAGGGAAAUUCAUAGCAAUAAAUGCCCAGAGGAGCAAGGAAAGUCUAAAAUUGACACCCUAUCAUCAAAAUUGAAAGAGUUAGAGGAGCAAGAUCAAAAAAACUCAAAAGCUGGCACAAGACAAGAAAUAACUAAGAUCAGAGCAGAACUGAAGGAGACAGAGACACAACAAAACCCUUCAAAAAAAUCAAUAAAUCCAGGAGCUGUUUUUUUUGAAAACAUCAAUAAAAUAGAUAAACUGCUAUCCAGACUAAUAAAAAAGAAAAGAAAGAAGAAUCAAAUAGUUGCAAUAAAAAAUGAUCAAGGGGACAUCACCACCAAUUCCACAGAAAUUAAAAACUACCAUUAGAGAUUACUACAAACAACUCUAUGCACACAAACCAGUAAACCUAGAAGAAAUGGAUAAAUUCCUGGACACUUGCACUAUCCCAAGACUAAACCAGGAAGAAGUUGAAUCCCUGAAUAGACCAAUAACAAGGGCUGGAGUUGAGACAGCAAUUAAUAGCCUACCAGCUAAAAAAAAAGCCCAGGUCCAGUUGGGUUUACAGCCAAAUUCUACCAGAUGUACAAAGAGGAGCUGGUACCAUUCCUUCUGAAACUAUUCCAAACAAUACAAAAAGAGGGAAUCCUCCCCAACUCAUUUUAUGAGACCAACAUCAUUCUAAUACCAAAACCGUGCAGAGACACAACUGAAAAG
Molecule: long non-coding RNA, 4164 nt
Organism: Callithrix jacchus (white-tufted-ear marmoset)
Lineage: Eukaryota; Metazoa; Chordata; Mammalia; Primates; Cebidae
Source: Ensembl